ACUGUAGUCGUUAAGCAAUCAUUAAUGCACAAACUCGCUUUUUGAUCCUUCGAUGUCGGCUCUUCCUAUCAUUGUGAAGCAGAAUUCACCAAGCGUGGGAUUGUUCACCCACUGAUGGGGAACGUGAGCUGGGAUAAGACCGUCGUGAGACAGGUU
RNAcentral lists this non-coding RNA (156 nucleotides) under Lepisosteus oculatus (spotted gar). RNAcentral describes it as "Eukaryotic large subunit ribosomal RNA". It matches the Rfam family "Eukaryotic large subunit ribosomal RNA", at positions 2834 to 2984 of the family's 3401-position model. The record is from Rfam by way of RNAcentral. Lineage: Eukaryota; Metazoa; Chordata; Actinopteri; Semionotiformes; Lepisosteidae.